RNAcentral lists this ribosomal RNA (484 nucleotides) under uncultured bacterium. RNAcentral describes it as "partial 16S ribosomal RNA". It matches the Rfam family "Bacterial small subunit ribosomal RNA", at positions 30 to 507 of the family's 1533-position model. The record is from RNAcentral.
AUUGAACGCUGGCGGAAUGCUUUACGCAUGCAAGUCGAGCGGCAGCACGGGGGCAGCCCUGGUGGCGAGUGGCGAACGGGUGAGUAAUACAUCGGAACGUGCCCGGUCGUGGGGGAUAACGUAGCGAAAGUUACGCUAAUACCGCAUACGAUCUGAGGAUGAAAGCGGGGGACCUUCGGGCCUCGCGCGAUCGGAGCGGCCGAUGUCAGAUUAGGUAGUUGGUGGGGUAAAGGCCUACCAAGCCGACGAUCUGUAGCUGGUCUGAGAGGACGACUAGCCACACUGGGACUGAGACACGGCCCAGACUCCUACGGGAGGCAGCAGUGGGGAAUUUUGGACAAUGGGCGCAAGCCUGAUCCAGCCAUUCCGCGUGCAGGACGAAGGCCUUCGGGUUGUAAACUGCUUUUGUACGGAACGAAAAGGCUCUGGCUAAUACCUGGGGCUCAUGACGGUACCGUAAGAAUAAGCACCGGCUAACUACGUG